RNAcentral lists this transfer RNA (75 nucleotides) under Hyphomicrobiaceae bacterium. RNAcentral's name for it is "tRNA-Val". It matches the Rfam family "tRNA". Rfam says of the family: Transfer RNA (tRNA) molecules are approximately 80 nucleotides in length. The record is from RNAcentral. Lineage: Bacteria; Pseudomonadati; Pseudomonadota; Alphaproteobacteria; Hyphomicrobiales; Hyphomicrobiaceae. RNAcentral also lists the same sequence under 1 other name.
GGGCGGUUAGCUCAGUGGUAGAGCACUACGUUGACAUCGUAGGGGUCGGCAGUUCGAACCUGUCACUGCCCACCA